This 399-nucleotide ribosomal RNA is filed under the name uncultured bacterium. RNAcentral's name for it is "bacterial SSU rRNA". It matches the Rfam family "Bacterial small subunit ribosomal RNA", at positions 28 to 424 of the family's 1533-position model. The record is from RNAcentral.
GAUGAACGCUAGCGGCAGGCUUAAUACAUGCAAGACGAACGGUAAGUGUUGUAGCAAUAUAGCACGAGAGUGUCGUACGGGUGCGUAACACGUAUGCAACCUACCUUGUACAGGAGGAUAGCUCGGGGAAACUCGAAUUAACCCUCCAUAAUAUAUUUGAAUGGCAUCAUUUGAAUAUUAAAACCUUGGUGGUACAAGAUGGGCAUGCGUCUGAUUAGAGUUGGUAGUGUAAUGGACUACCAAGACGAUGAUCAGUAGGGGACCUGAGAGGGUGAUCCCCCACACUGGCACUGAGAUACGGGCCAGACUCCUACGGGAGGCAGCAGUAGGGAAUAUUGGUCAAUGGGUGCAAGCCUAGAACCAGCCAUGCCGCGUGCAGGGAAGAAGGCGUUAUGCGUU